Long non-coding RNA from Ostrinia nubilalis (European corn borer), 1734 nucleotides. RefSeq lists it as uncharacterized. The record is from RefSeq and is a predicted model, not a curated record. NCBI's taxonomy places the organism in Eukaryota, Metazoa, Arthropoda, Insecta, Lepidoptera, Crambidae. The transcript is spliced from 3 exons.
CAAUCAACGUCAGUGAACGUCAACAGCUGCUGUCAACAGCCAAUCAACAAAAACCAAAACAAACAACAAGCAAAAUAAACAGAAUAAUUAAAUAAUAACAACAAGCUAAGCGUUUCGUCGGCAUUUCGACGCAGAAAGGAAGAUUCCUUCUUAUUCGAGGAAGUCAAAAUUCGAAACGCGUAUUUAAUUUACACUCUCGUAUAACCUUACAACUUCGUAAGGAACUGUGAACUCCUCAGUCGCGCAGUCCCAACCAAAGAAUACUCAUACUCUAAGGUAAUGGACGUACAAACUGCAGCUGCCGUUGCAAUGUGCACUCUAGCAUACUAUAACUACGUGAAAUGUCUCACCGCAGAGAGACGAAAAGACAAACAGAAAGAGAAUACAAUACUAAUCAACGACGAAGAUGGGGAUGAAGACGAACAACGAGAGACGGAGAGAAAUUUCACAGGGAAAAUUAUUAAAAAAAAGCAGAAAAAAGGAAGAUGUUGGAUGAUUCCUUUACACAGGGACAGAACUAGACAUACUAUGGAGCAACAAUUCCGUGAACUCAUGGGACAAUCUGGAGGAUUUGAAAAUUUUGUCCGUAUGUCAAUGGCCGAUUUUUGUCUUCUACUUUCUGAAAUAGAACCCAUGAUCUCCAAACAAGAUACUCGUUUUAGAGAAGCUAUACCUGCUAAAAUUCGUUUAGCAAUUACUUUAAGAUAUUUAGCAACUGGUGAGAGUUUUAGAAGUCUACACUUUUUAUUUAAAAUUUCAAGCUCGUUAAUUUCAAAAGUUGUGAUCAAUGUCUGCAAGGCUCUUAAUGAUGUUCUCAAGGAGGAAAUAAAGAUGCCGAGCAAUGAACAUCAGUGGUUAGAAGUUCAAAACGGAUUCAAGAAUAAUUUUCCACAUGCUAUAGGCGCAUUGGACGGAAAGCACAUUUUUAUAAAAUGUCCAAGUAACUCUGGCCACAGUUUAAUACUAUUAGCUUUAGUCGACAGCGACUAUAAUUUCAUGUAUGCCGACAUUUGUAGUGAAGGAAGACAAAGAGAUGGAGAUGUAUUCAAAAAUUUUUCACUGUGGAAAAAAAUUACAUCUAACAGUCUUAACCUUCCUGAACCACGACGAUUAUGCAGCACUGAAAAUGUCGAAGUCCCCUACUUUUUUUUGGCUAACGGAGCAUUUGCUUUACAUGACAAUGUAAUGAAACCAUAUCCUGGUUCUCAUGAUAUCGGUUCACCGCAAUUAAAUUUUAAUACACGAUUGUCAAGAUCUCGAGUAGUUUGCGAAAAUGUUUUUGGGAUUUUAGCAUCCAGGUUUCAAAUAUUUAAAUAUCCUAUUGAUUUACAUCUUGAAAAUGCUGCCAUUAUUACAAAGACAUGUGUUUUGUUGCAUAACUUUCUCAAAAAAAGUGAUAGUUCAUCUCACAUGUACAUGCCUCCCGGUAUUCUGGACGUAUAUGAUCACAGCGGAGUUUUAAUUCAACGCGGAACUUGGCGGGAAAGGAUGAACAGUAAACCUGCUAUGAGAACUAUAUCACAAAUUUCAAGCAAAUCAUCAACGUCUGCCCGUCAGUUAAGAGAUUAUUUAACAGAUUAUUUUUCUACCAGAAAUUAGGAACUGUUUAGUAUAGAACGCACCGCAUAAUAUUAGUUUGUGUCGUUUUGGUAAUGAAUGAUGAUAAUAAAUUAAUAAUUUAUUAAUGUUCAUAAUGUUUCUAUUGUGUUUAUAAAAAUAAACUCAUCGUGCUAA